ACGCUCGACACCUACGGGAGGCAGCAGUGGGGAAUAUUGGGCAAUGGGGGCAACCCUGACCCAGCAACGCCGCGUGAAGGAAGAAGGCUUUCGGGUUGUAAACUUCUUUGACAAGGGACGAAAUAAAUGACGGUACCUUGAAAACAAGCCACGGCUAACUACGUGUCAGCAGCCGCGGUAAUCUGAGCGGGCUGGCAAGGC
Molecule: ribosomal RNA, 201 nt
Filed under: uncultured bacterium
Lineage: Bacteria
Description: partial 16S ribosomal RNA
Rfam family: Bacterial small subunit ribosomal RNA
Source: RNAcentral